UCCACAGACACAUGCACACGCCCGCCAUAAU
RNAcentral lists this non-coding RNA (31 nucleotides) under Mus musculus (house mouse). Lineage: Eukaryota; Metazoa; Chordata; Mammalia; Rodentia; Muridae. The record is from RNAcentral.